This 445-nucleotide ribosomal RNA is filed under the name uncultured bacterium. RNAcentral's name for it is "partial 16S ribosomal RNA". It matches the Rfam family "Bacterial small subunit ribosomal RNA", at positions 354 to 796 of the family's 1533-position model. The record is from RNAcentral.
GUGAGGAAUAUUGCGCAAUGGAGGCAACUCUGACGCAGCCAUGCCGCGUGCAGGAAGAAGGCGCUACGCGUUGUAAACUGCUUUUAACCGGGAAGAAACCCCAGGACGUGUCCUGGGUUGACGGUACCGGAGGAAUAAGCACCGGCUAACUUCGUGCCAGCAGCCGCGGUAAUACGAAGGGUGCAAGCGUUAUCCGGAUUCAUUGGGUUUAAAGGGUGCGUAGGCGGAGCGUUAAGUCAGUGGUGAAAUCCUGCAGCUUAACUGUAGACUUGCCAUUGAUACUGGCGCUCUUGAGUGCGCUUGAAGUGGGCGGAAUGUGUCGUGUAGCGGUGAAAUGCUUAGAUAUGGCACAGAACACCAAUUGCGAAGGCAGCUCACUAAGGCGAUACUGACGCUGAGGCACGAAAGCGUGGGGAUCGAACAGGAUUAGAUACCCUGGUAGUCC